GAAUCAGACCACAGAGAGGACAAAUGGGAUGGAUGCGGCUGAGCCCACGGGCAGCUUGUAGGGCUGAGAAAGCAUCAAAGAGGCAGAAACUGUGGCGAGAUGAGAUCGGGAAAUACACACCGAGGGCAGAGUGGAGAUGCCAGCCCCAGGACCCAGGAGUCCAGGUGGGGGUGGGGAGCAUCUGAAAACGCAGGAGACAUUUCUGGGAUCCGAGCUGGAAGGAUUCAGGGGCUCAGAUGCUGAUGGGGGAGGUAAGGGCAUCCAGGCACGCUUCUGUUUCCAAAUACUGGAGACAAAAAGAAAAUUCUAGCAGUUUCCCCAAAGAGAAGAAGGCUUCUCACCAAAGAGCACAAGUCAGGUUGAUAUCCGGCAUCCCGACAGCAAUUCUGACACAAGAGGUGGAGCCAAGUCCGUGGAAGAAAAGCGCUGUGGACCCAGGAGCGUGGCGGAAAACCGCAGCCACGCGUGAGGGGAGGACGGCGAACUCAGGCACGAAGCGGAAGGAAGGAAGCUUGCUCCAUGACUCCCCCCGCCUCCGCCCCGGCUGCCCCGGGAAACCUGUUUGCAGGGAGCGGUCAGUGGGGAGGGAGAGGAAUCAGGGAGGAUGUCCCCCCCAACCCCUCAAGGCGCCGGGAAGGAGGGACCCCACCCCGCUCAGAUGACCGUCCUCUGAGAACACUUCCGGCUGAAGGAAGAGGAGCCGGCUGGUCACAGCCCUCAGGUGCAAACUGUUACCAGCUCCCUGACCUGGACCGCGGUGAGGACGGAAUCCCGGGCGGCCGUGAACUUGGACGGGAGACGUCCCACCUUUUAUUUUCGCAGUGUGCUCAGUCGCUCAGCCACGUCUGACUCUGCGACCCCAUGGACUGUAGCCCUCCAGGCUCCUCUGUCCACGGGAUUCUCGAGGCAAGAACACUGAAGAGGGUUGCCAUUUCCUUCUCCAGGGGAUCUUCCCAACCCAGGGAUCAGAUCUGGGUCUCUUACGUCUCCCACAUUGGCAGGUGGGUUCUUCACCACUGGGGCCACCUGGGAAGCCCCUCCCUUGCCUAAACUGAGUGCUCACCUGUGCCUCCCCGCCUGGAAUCCGGGUCCUGGGCUGACACUGUAGGGUCUCAGAAGCUCUGGUUGAUGUUUCAAUAUUGGUGGUCAUGAGACCCGUCUUUGGAUCUCCACUAAUACACCAGCGAGAAGCCUCAUUCAUUGCUGCGUAAGAAGCUACACUUGCUUCUGACCUGGUAGCUGUAUUUCAGGGUGUGACCCAACUCAGGUUCAGCUGCUUGUCACUCAAGAAUUCCAAACUGAGAGACAAGGGUUGGGGAAGAGGAAAGACAGCCGUGCUGGGGAAGCCGACUGCCCCAGGGAGAAGGUGGACUCACGGCCCAGUGAACCGGCGACCCGUUUCCCAGGCUUUGCUUGGAGAUCAGCCGGGGAGAAGAGAGGACUGUGUGCAUCCCGCCUGACAUCAGUGACCCUGGCUGACGUUGAGAGCUCUCUGGGCACGUAAACUAAGCGCUUCACUGCGUUCCAUCUUCAGGACACAGAAAUAUGCAGCUGGUGGCCUGGCCGUCCUUCUGCAGGUGAUGACGUGGACUUGCCUGGCCUGCAAGUGGCAGGACGGGUGGAGUGGACUCUGCUCUGUCAAACUGACAACAGGGAUGAGCCGCGUUCCCAGCACCGUGUCUCCCUGGCCGGGCGUGGGUCACCGGUGCCCCCUGGAGCCCACGUGUCCCCAGGCCUGUUCAGGGCGACCUUGCUCCUUCGUCCACAGAGCCGGCCUGUUGGAGACUCCGCUCAUCUAAGGGCGAGCUGUCUGGACCCUGUGGACCGGGGUGUUGGUGUUAUUUUGAAGCAGGUCUUGUGGACUGGCAGGGAUCACGAGGAGUGCCGUUCCUUUAUGAACCUCUCGGAAGGAAAAAGCGCCGCCUGUGAACCGCGAGCUGGCGCCCUCGGAGUGCAGCCCGAGCUCACACUCGCCCGGCGCUCUCCGGGCCUCUCUGACGCCGGUCUGCGUAGCACGUGCUCACGCAAGCGUAGAAAGAGGCGAGAUGGAAACCGACCGGCUCAGGAGGCCCUGGGGUCCUCGGGCCAGGAAGGGCACCCGACCACUUUCCAGCCUGAGCCGCCAGGCCCCUGUUUUCCGCAUGGAAUGGUCCCCGGUCCCCGGGAGGGGGGGCAACGCCGCGCUCUGGAGAAGAUUCACCCGCGCUGUGCCCGGCUUUCCUUCAGCUGCCGACAGCGGCUGGAGGUUUGACGCUUGUGCUUCUGGAAAGGUAGCAAACCUUUCCAGACGCUGUCCGGGACAGCAGUCAGACGGCGGCUGGGACUCGAGCUCCUUCCUCAAAUAUCCCUCCUGAGCUUUGUCCCCCAACGGCCAGGCCUCGCCACGCUGCCUCCCUGCUGGGAUGGGACGCUCCCCCGGGGACCCCAGCUGCCCCAUGUCCCGCCCCGCCCCCCUGCCCUGCCCGCACACCGAGGUGGUCCUGCGUGGACCCCUGCAGGUGGCACAGCCUCAUGGCCAAGGGGUGUCCCCACCAGCACCUCGCCGUGAGCGGCCUCUGACCCCCCCGGCCACACCCACGUUCCCAGGCUCCGCAGGGUCCCUGCGUCACUCGCCCGACUCACAGAGCCGGGAAGGCUGUCUGCUCACGGUGACGGUUUUAUAAAGGACGCAGACCGGGACCAGCCAAACAAGGAGACGCCUGGCCUGGCCCCAGGGAGGCAUGUGACACCAUGAAGCUCGUCGGGGGAGGAGGGGAGGGAAGGUGCAGAAGGCGCUGGACCCUGAAGACUUCUGUUCAUCAUCCCCCUCUCUGUUCAGAGGCAGGUCAGGGACCUAGAGCCUACGUGCCACAACUAUGAAUGAAAGAAAGAGAUCGAGAGUGCCGAAACUAAGACCUGAUGCAGCCGAAUAAAUAAAAAGUAUUAAAAAGUGUUAGAUGAGGUCGUAGGGUGCGACUGGUGCCCUUUUAGAGACAGAGACCUGCCCGCACCGUGACCUUGAACGUCCCGCCUCCGGACCGUGAGACCCAUGUGUCUGGUUACGAAGCCCAGUUUAUCAUGAACAGGAGCAGAUUAGUGGGCCGUCAAACCGCAAGUGGCUGGCGAUCUUCUGGGACUUUUAGGCUGGGAGCUGCGGGUUGGGAAUGAAGGGGCUGCUGGGCGGCCAAGUGCCACCUCUGGGCCCAGCUGGCACCAUCCAGAGGCGCUGGGGGACAGGCUGCUGGACUGAACUCGCUUUCCUUCCCUGCCAAGUUCCUGUUUGAAGCUUAACCUCCAAUGUGGCUGUGUUUGGAGAGAAGAUCGCUUUUUGUCGGAGUUGUUUUCAUCUUCUGGAUUCUGACAAUUCACUAGUCACAUGCACAGCAACACUUUUAUCCAAGUCUCUUUGCUUUUCUCUCUGUUUGCGGGAAACUUUUGGCACUCAGAAUUUCACGUUCAAGCUGGACAGCUUAUCGAUACGUUCCUUACUGUCUGUCUGUUCUGUGCCUUAUUUGAGAAGUCUUGCGCUUCACCAGUAUCAUGAGCAUAGUCUGUGUCCUGUAAGAGGCUUACAGAAAACCUGAAUGAACUUUUGGGGCAACCCAAUAGUUUGGUUUUUCAUAUUUCAACAAACUUAAGAGCCUACAAGGCGAUUUUCAUCCCCCUGCAGCUUGGUGCCUGUGGUGGAAGGCAGGCGCUGAACCGAACCCUCCUCCCGUGGAAAGGUGGUGUCCUGGUGCCGUUUGUGAAACAAGCCAACUUUCUGCCUGUGCUGCCGGUGUGGUGGCCCGGAGCCACAUGUACCGUUUACAUGUGAACAAACUGACGUGAAAUAAAAUUCAAAAUUCGGUUUCUCAGA
Long non-coding RNA from Cervus elaphus (red deer), 3838 nucleotides. RefSeq lists it as uncharacterized. The record is from RefSeq and is a predicted model, not a curated record. NCBI's taxonomy places the organism in Eukaryota, Metazoa, Chordata, Mammalia, Artiodactyla, Cervidae. The transcript has 10 exons.